Molecule: non-coding RNA, 83 nt
Organism: Vitis vinifera (wine grape)
Lineage: Eukaryota; Viridiplantae; Streptophyta; Magnoliopsida; Vitales; Vitaceae
Source: Rfam
AGAUCUGUAAGCUCAAAUUGGCAUGAGCGCUCAAUUCCGAAUUUGGGGUUGAGAUGAUGGUGGUUCAAAUCCGCUCAGAUCUU